UCAGCUUUAACAAAUUUCUUCCUGAUGAAUCACAAUACAAAUGCCACAGGAGCCCUGCCGUUGGUUAUCCCACAUUUUACCCAUUUUGGAAUGUAGAAAGAUGUUUCAGGUACAGGUUCGAUUAAGGAGUCCAUUAGCCAGAAACUCCUACUACAAUUCAUGCUGAUGAAUAUAGUUUUAAUAGGCUUACAAGAGACCUAUAGCCUGAGUUACCAUUAGUCUAUGGCAACCACAGUAACAUCACAAACAACAGCAGAGAAAGUUGACUUUGGAGUGUGAACUAUGCAGGCAAGGACCAAGAUGAGGAGCAAACUAUCUGUAAUUGCAGAGUCAAAAAAAGGACCACAGCAGGAGCUAACUUGAAGAUGCCAAGUUUUUGAAAUCGGAGUGAUAAAAAUAACAGCCAGAUUUUGGCAAUUAAAACUUUUGUAGGUUUUGAAGACAACAUCUGAAAUUAUUAUUGAAGGGCUAUGAGCUGUAAUAAUACCCUGCAGAGGCAAUGCAGAGGUAAAGAGAAUGUUACAUUGUAAUACAACAAUUUUUACAGCUAUGUGAAACAAAUCUGAAUAAUUAAACUUGAACAGUUUUAUCUUGUA
Molecule: long non-coding RNA, 596 nt
Organism: Rhincodon typus (whale shark)
Lineage: Eukaryota; Metazoa; Chordata; Chondrichthyes; Orectolobiformes; Rhincodontidae
Exons: 2
Source: RefSeq, a predicted model, not a curated record